This 1352-nucleotide long non-coding RNA is filed under the name Piliocolobus tephrosceles (Ugandan red Colobus). RNAcentral describes it as "lncRNA (ENSPTEG00000029352.1)". The record is from RNAcentral. Lineage: Eukaryota; Metazoa; Chordata; Mammalia; Primates; Cercopithecidae.
CGCCAUUCUCCUGCCUCAGCCUCCUGAGUAGCUGGGACCACAGGCGCCGCCACCGCGCCUGGCUAACUUUUUGUAUUUUAGUAGAGACGGAGUUUCACCGUGUUAGCCAGGAUGGUCUCGAUCUCCUGACCUCGUGAUCGGCCCGCCUCGGCCUCCCAAAGUGCUGGGAUUAUAGGCGUGAGCUACCGCGCCCGGCCACAUAUCACCGCUUCUAUUGUGUGUUCACUCCACACCAAGCCUGAGUAAGGACUUUCUGUGCACGUUCUCAUUUCAUGCUUAUGACCCGCUGAGAAUUAAGAUCAUUUUGACCCCUGUCUUACAGAUGAGGAAGCUGAGGCCUGGUGCUCCUAAAGGGCUUGGUCAAGAGGCGGAGGUGGAGGUGGUGGAAGGCUGUUCCCCUGCGAAUCCAUGUUAUUGGAACAUUUCCAGGAAGCCCUUUGGUGGCACGCGAGACCUGGCUCCGUGGCCACUGGACAGAUCUCCUGAAGCAGAAGUUUUCCGUGACUCCUGGAACAUCACCUUCUCUACGGGGAGCCAAGAACUCCCAGGAAGGGGCGGGCCUUGGAAUGCACAAGCCACAUCUCUGUCCGCUCUGGGGUGACACUAAGAGAAAGAAGAAGGCAGCAGCUCUCAUCUCAAUGUGUGUUCAUCCCAUUCAUCACUAGGAGCCUCCGUUUCAGUGCGUUCGGUGAUCAGGAGAUGAUUGUAUCUUUGAUCAAAGGUGUUUGUAUCUUUCCUAAUGUACUGACAUUCACGGGCUGCACAUCUGGCAGAAGGGGAGAGAGCAAGACCUCUGGGACGUUGUUAUCUUGGCUGGAGUCCAGAUCCCAUUCUGAUGUCUUCAGUAGAUGACUUAACUUCUUCAGCCUCAGUUUCCUCUUUGUGACAUUGGAGAGAUGCUGUUACCCACCUCUUAAGGAUGUUAUAAAAUACCAGCACGUAAGAGCUGCUUUAAACUACGAAGAACUUUGUAAAUGGUGGUAUGGUUUUAUUUAAUAGGAAAAGAAUAUGAGCAGGAAAAACUAUAUUCAUUUUUAAGAUAUAAAAUGUGUGGAAAAUUACAGUGAAUAGAUUUUAUAACACAUCCUCUUUCUCUGUAUGCACUGCAGAUUUUCACAUAAUUUUAAAAAAAUCACCGUAUGUCUGGAAAUCUUGCCUUAAAGUAGGUCUUUUUAAAAAGAUACUAUUAGGUUGAACCACAUAAAAUUACCACUCGUUCAGUCAAAAAUGGUCAAAUAUAAGCAAUUUCAUGUGGUUUGUCUGGAUGUUUUUUCUCAAAAAAAGUUUUAGUUGGAGAUUGUAUUCCUUAAAAAAAUUGACAUCAAAUAAAUGAUAUGUUCAUGAUUAAAACA